GGAAUAUUGCACAAUGGGCGAAAGCCUGAUGCAGCGACGCCGCGUUAGUGAAGAAGCAUUUCGGUAUGUAAAGCUCUAUCAGCAGGGAAGAAAAUGACGGUACCUGACUAAGAAGUCCCGGCUAACGCCGUGCCAGCAGCCGCGGUAAUACGUAGGGGGCAAGCGUUAUCCGGAUUUACUGGGUGUAAAGGGAGCGUAGACGGCGAAGCAAGUCGGAAGUGAAAACCCAGGGCUCAACCCUGGGACUGCUUUGGAAACUGUUUUGCUAGAGUGUCGGAGAGGUAAGUGGAAUUCCUAGUGUAGCGGUGAAAUGCGUAGAUAGUAGGAGGAACACCAGUGGCGAAGGCGGCUUACUGGACGAUAACUGACGUUGAGGCUCGAAAGCGUGGGGAGCAAACA
Molecule: ribosomal RNA, 399 nt
Filed under: uncultured bacterium
Lineage: Bacteria
Description: bacterial SSU rRNA
Rfam family: Bacterial small subunit ribosomal RNA
Source: RNAcentral